Long non-coding RNA from Vespa mandarinia (Asian giant hornet), 1475 nucleotides. Lineage: Eukaryota; Metazoa; Arthropoda; Insecta; Hymenoptera; Vespidae. The record is from RefSeq and is a predicted model, not a curated record.
AAUAUUUCGAGGUAACUUAUGGUUUGAUAGUCCAGUAAAAACUACAAACUCGAACGCCGCCAUAAUAAGCUUACACAUUACUACCGCAAGAUGUCGCCUAAGUUAUUGUUUUGAUUCUUCCACUCUUCCACUAACCAAAAUAAAAAUUUUUUAACAAAUAUGCACGUUCAACUUAAUAUAAGUUCUAGCUGUAAUAAAAACCAUUAUUAUCAAUUAAUUAAUAAAGUUGAUGGUGAAAUAUUAUUAAAAUUAGAAUCAUUAAACGCAGUUUUGAAAUAUUAUAUUAAAAUGAAGAACAGAUCAACACGUCAUAAAUGGAAAGAUACAUUUCAGCUUGCAAAAGGGAAGAAAACGACGAGGAAGUGGAAAUGUAUUUUUAUGAAGCGACACAUAAAUGGAAUCUCAUGAAAUUAACAUAUGAUUAUUGCAGUUCUAAAAUAUAAAUGAGAAAAAUUAUUAUACUUUCGUAAUCGCUCGAUAAGGAACAAUUAAUCAUCGAACGUUCCUAAAAUAUAUAUAGUUAAAAAUUAAAGAAGACAACAAAUUAUCCAGGAAAACUCGGAAUUAUCUGCAAAUGAAAAUAAGCUUAUCUCUAAAAACAGUGAAAAAGAAAACGAAGAUGGAAACGUCCACGAUUAUAGAAUCAUCUACUUUUGGAUAAAUUGACAAAGGAGGUAACUUCUGUGACAAAGAAAUAAAUGCGUAAGGAAGAAAAUACGAAAUUCUAUAGUAUGAGACAACAAAACUGCAACAAGAAAAGAUAUAUAAGUUACAGAUAAUGUAUCGUAAUUAGUUCUGCUACAAAUUUGUGGGAGAAGUGAAAUUAGGAAUAGAGGAAGAAACCUAAAAUUAUGCAACAAAGGUAGAAAGUAAACAAGAAGAAAAACGCUUAGUAAACAUCUUCAGUUAUAUGCACUUGCACCUCUGCUGACACGCUUUUCCAAAUUACGAUAAAUUCAUGAUACUGAUGUGAUAUUGCCACAUCUUGAUAUAUCUCAUACUUUUCCUCUGUGUUUCCACCGUGCAAUUGCUUCUUUUAAAGGAACAGUGUUUUAUCCCUGAAGAAGAAGAAGAAGGAAAGGGCAAUCAGUUUUAAUUCAGUAGUCAACAAUCUUAAUUAAAGAAUGUCUGAAAUGAAUCUUUCCAGUCGGUUCAUAACUCUGUAAAUCUAUUAAUAUAUACAUAUUUGUGUCAUAUUUAAUCAAUUUUUACUCUUUAAAUUUUAUUAAUUGUUAACGAUUGACCUACACUAUUUCUUAUAAAUAUGUAGGAAGAGAAAUAAACUAUGAGAAUGUUUGGAUUGUCAGAAAAUAAGCAUAAAUAAUUUUUUAUUACAAACCUACAGGUACUUUCUUUUAUUUUAUAGUAUUUCAUAUUAAUUACAUUCGACUUGUAUUUUUUCUGUGCAUAUAUAUUUCGAUGUAAGUCAUUUCAAAAGUAUCUCAAUGAUUAUUAAUAUAUUACUUUAUUUUCUC